AUUUGAAUAGUUUAAUUAGAAUAAUAAUUUGUGGUGUUAUAGGUAUAUUUUGUAUUUCAAAUC
Molecule: transfer RNA, 63 nt
Filed under: Limnogonus intermedius
Lineage: Eukaryota; Metazoa; Arthropoda; Insecta; Hemiptera; Gerridae
Description: tRNA-His
Source: RNAcentral